UUGCAUUGUCAUAUUUGCUGUUUACUCACUUUGCCUAGCAACAGCUGUUUACUCGCCGUUGCUAAGCAAUGAUUAUUGCGUUGUCAUAUUUGCUUGAAUGUAAGCAGUUCUCCGCGGAGAUUGUUGCACAGCUGUUGAAGCGAGCAGGAAAAUGUACGUGACGUCCGGAGGGUCGUGACGGUCGUGACCCAUUGAGCCGACUGCACGUGGUUGUUUGGAUGUGUGGAAGAUAGAGCUCCACAGGUUCGUGUUCGUGCCAGUUUUUGCCAUAGUUGAUCUUCAUUUGUUGACAUUGCUGGUGUAUGUCACUUUUCUUUGGUCUGCAGUGAACAUCCUUUUGUGAGGAUUUGUUUCAGUGUUCCUUCAUCUGUUGAAAGUGCUGAGAUGAUGAUGGGGCGAGAUGAUGGGGCAGCGACGUCUUGUUUGAAAAUGAGCUGUCUCUCCACAUCCAUGAGGGGCUGAAGUGAUUGGUGGUUUUCCAUGUUCAUUGGACAUAUGCACAGCAAGAUCUUGCAGACUUAAUAGGGGGAAGAUGACUGCUUUUCAGCAGGCUUAUAAAGAGAUGAUCAAAGACCUGAGAGGGAACUGAAGUACAAUGACACCCUCAUCAGUGCUCUUUGAUGCGAGAUUAACCUCAGUCAUACAUCAUGGGAAGUCUGGAUGAGGAUUUCCAGCACUGGAAGAAGUGCAGCAGUUGUGUAAGAGGUUCAUCUGCCAGCACUACAGAUGGUGUGAUUGGUAAACUACCGCAUCGUUCUCCGCCACAAGAUAACUAGUCUUGCAACUAGCCUCAGAAAUGUAUGGCUGAUAAAUAUAGAUUAAUAUCCCUUUAGGUAUCAUUAUUAUGAUGCUUGAAGUGUGAGUUGGUCUAAAUGAAUGACCUGUGUUUGAAUUAUAUGUAAGAAAUUUAGAUUUAUUUUGUCCAAAAGAAAAAUGGGUACAGGAGGGGGGGUAUUCAUUUAAAUGGCCAAGGAAGAAAAUGAUUUCAGCCUAGUACAGUAUGUCAGUAUUCAUGGUAGAAGUAUAUGCCAUUAACCCUGUGUAGGCCAAGUUUUUUGACAGCUUGAGACAAAAUACAAAUUAUAACAGAAUGUACUCUAACUUAAUCGAAGCUAACAAAACUAACCUGAGGUAACAUGUUGAGGAAAGUACAUAUACGUCUGUGGAACAGAAAGGGUCAAGGUGGGUAUACUUAUCACCAUGAGCUUUAUGAAUUUAGCCUAUUGGUUUGUAUGAGGUUCACUCUGCACUAUACCUCACCAUCCAUAGGAGUACACAAAGCACAGAAUAGACCCAUAGUGAGCAGAUGUUUUGCUAGAGUCAAGGUCAGUGUAAUGUAAUAGAAGUGGUCCCAUUUUAGGAGAACACGCACUGAAAAAUAUGUCUUUGCAUCAGUUGUGUUGAUACUGAUAAAGUCAUCUUGCCCAGGUAAAGGGAUAUAUGGUUAGGGUGGACAAGUGAUUAUUACUGUGGUAAAAGGGGGGUGCAGCCAUGUACUAUAUUUUAUAUUUAUGGUUGUCUGCUUUGAUAUUGUGAUAAGUGUAAUGCCAGAACUUGUACUUGAGAUUGUAUUGCUUACUUUGAUAACCAGAAGUUAAUGGAUAUAUAAGACCUUUAUCGUUGUGUAUGUGUGGCUGUCUGGCUGUCGUUGUUUGAUAGAGGUCCUGAAAGUGCUAUGUACUUGUAUGUGGAUUCUAAUUUUAUUGCUGUUUGGAAAAUAUUUCAACAUACCUUUAGACAGAAAUAUGUUCGUUGCAAAAUGACACAAGACAUUCUCAUAAUCAUUGUCAAUUUGUCAGUUAUGAAGUUAUGAAGAGAAUGUCCUGCAUAUUUACAUAUAGAAUCGAUUUGUGUCAAGGCCAGGAGAGUUCACUGAUUGACUACUUAUAUAAUUGUAUGAAUUUCUGUUCUACUUGCUGCCUCAGUGGCAGACCAUAUGGAUUGUGUAUGAAUGGUGUUACCAGUUUCUGUUAAUGUUGAUAUUUAUUGUAAUGAUGUGAAUGCAGUUUCUGAGGACAUGAGCUAUCUGUAUUUUCCAUCAAGAUAUGUAUAUUUUUUUAUAAUGGUGUAUUGUUACAUCUUUAUUCUAUUUGAAAACACGUCAUUCAUCGGGAGAUGAUUGGAUGAAUUGUGUCAGUAUGCUGAGUGUAUGAAUUUUGCAUAUACAAAGCAAGGAUUCUUAAUAUUGGUGGUAUUUCAGUUCAGAAAAAUGUGAUGGAUUUCAGUCCUAUAAUAAGAUAGGAAGUCGUGUUCAUGUUGCAUAAAUAUGUGCUAAUGCUGUAGGUGGGUGAUACAAUAGGAGCAGUACUGUAUGUGUUACGAUCUGUCAGAUUUGUGUUUUUUUGGAAUACACAGUUCAUAUUUGUUUCACAGUUUGUAAUAGUCUCCUGAGUACAGUAGUGUGUAAUUAUUCAUGUCUGUUGAUCUCUUCAAUUUAUUUGAAGAGUGGAAAGUUAGGUAAAUUUUAUGUAAGAGGUCAAGCUGAAAAGAAAGAAAAAUAGUAUUUCAUUGAAACAAAAAUGGAUAAUUUCUUAAUGUCUGGUGCAACUGUACACAAUUGUGAACAUGAUCACCAGCAGUCAACAGAGUUUUGUAAGUGCAGGGGUAUUUGGAAAUGUGCAUUAAAUCAGAUGUCUCCAUAUUGUGGAUGGAAGGACAUCCCUACCACCAUCUAGACUUCAUCGUGUGAUGUGUGGUGGUGGAAGUCAUGGUGGAGGGGAUGAUGGCGAAGAUGGUGGUGGUGGUGAUCGCCAGUGAAUGUCGAUAAGUGGAAAGAUUUGCACAGUGAGGAUGUAGAUCACUGGACAGACUAUAUUGCACUCACAUCUCUGUAUACUGCAACAUUUUUACAGCUGUAAUUGAAUUAAUACAGCAGAGAUUACACUGCCAUGUGGGUGGGUUUGGUGCAAGAAAACAAGUGUUACUUUUCAGCAUACCAUCCUGUUGAAGGGCUGGUUAGUUUUCAGGAAUGUUGCUAUGUUGUGUAUGAGGUUCUUGAGCUGAGGUCUGGAAGGCUUGUGUAGAAGCAUUCUGUAUGAAUGUUGUGUUGUACAGUCUGUAAUGUACAGAUCAUGUAUUGAUGGCAAUAAUAUAUUGUAUUGAAUUGUGACAUGUAUAAAGUGCUGGAUUAAUUUGUUUGUGCAGUGUUUGUAAGCAAUACAAGAGUCUUCUCUUUGAA
Molecule: long non-coding RNA, 3178 nt
Organism: Cryptotermes secundus
Lineage: Eukaryota; Metazoa; Arthropoda; Insecta; Blattodea; Kalotermitidae
Exons: 4
Source: RefSeq, a predicted model, not a curated record